GGAGAGGUGGCCGAGCGGUUGAAGGCACCGGUCUUGAAAACCGGCAGGGCGAAAGUCCUCGUGGGUUCAAAUCCCACCCUCUCCGCCA
Molecule: transfer RNA, 88 nt
Filed under: Deltaproteobacteria bacterium
Lineage: Bacteria; Pseudomonadati; Myxococcota; Myxococcia
Also listed under: 1 other name
Description: tRNA-Ser
Rfam family: tRNA
About the family: Transfer RNA (tRNA) molecules are approximately 80 nucleotides in length. Their secondary structure includes four short double-helical elements and three loops (D, anti-codon, and T loops). Further hydrogen bonds mediate the characteristic L-shaped molecular structure. tRNAs have two regions of fundamental functional importance: the anti-codon, which is responsible for specific mRNA codon recognition, and the 3' end, to which the tRNAs corresponding amino acid is attached (by aminoacyl-tRNA synthetases). tRNAs cope with the degeneracy of the genetic code in two manners: having more than one tRNA (with a specific anti-codon) for a particular amino acid; and 'wobble' base-pairing, i.e. permitting non-standard base-pairing at the 3rd anti-codon position.
Source: RNAcentral